GUUGAGGGGAAUGAAGCCUGGUCCGAGAUCAUUCAGUACUGACAAUAAAAGAAUGAAUGGUUUCGAACCAGACAGCAUCCCUCUCAAC
RNAcentral lists this microRNA precursor (88 nucleotides) under Olea europaea subsp. europaea. The record is from RNAcentral. Lineage: Eukaryota; Viridiplantae; Streptophyta; Magnoliopsida; Lamiales; Oleaceae.